GAGCUAAUUAAAAAAAAUACAAAGUGUUGUGUCCGGAUCCAUAUGCAAAGUCUAUACGUUGUGGGAAAAGUUAGGGGUUUUAAGGAAAAUCUAAUAUGUAACGCUGAGCGCGGUCACAAUUUUUUUUGUGUGGCCAUCGAUGGGGGCGUACCUUGUUGACGAUGAUGAUCUGGUGGAGCAAUCGGUUGAUGAUUUUGUAAUUGAGGUGUUAUCAUCAUCAUCGACGAAGGCGGAGGUAAAGUUGAAUACUGAGAGAUGAAACGGCCGUAAACAUCAUCAUCCGUCGGAGUGGUUCCGAUGGUCUGAUGGUUAGUGUUGCCAUAGCUACUACUUUGACUUUCAUAAUCACGAUCUUCUUCUUCUUCUUGUGUUGGUACUUGCUUCUGCUCCCAGAUGAAUCGUUCAUUAUCCAUGAUCCGAAGUUGAAUAAUUGAUAUUUAACUUGUGGUAUCUGGAUCUGCUAGCUGCAUAUAAACUCGAUCUGUAGUUUUCAGUAGUGACACAAGAUGCAUAUGUUCGCAUAAGAGGCUGCGGUAUUUUGAAUGGUGAUACCUAGCUCUAGAGGUUAGCUUGGUCCUUAUUAUAUACUGCUUUCCUAGCUAUCACCUUCCUAAUAUAAUAUUUAUUUGAGUAAAAAUACGUAACUUUAUAUUCAUUGGCUACUUCAACAAUAUUAUCGUAUCUCCAAAUUCUAAGUAAAUUAUUAAAAUCUUAAUUAACGCGGUCAAGUCCAACACUUGAACGGGCAUGAAUUGAAGUAAAACUUAAAUAUGAGCACGAAUUUGAGUUUUACACGUUAAACUCAUAGGUUUAAACAAACAAAGGUAUAUAGGUAUUAUAAUAUAUGUAUAAGAAAAAAAUUUAAUGUGAAAAAAAGAGAAAUCAAAACACACAAUAGUAAAAUGCUUAAUUUAUUUCUUCUUCUGUUAGUUUUCUCUCUGAUUAAUUGGUCAUUAGUUUAUUUUUUCUUCUAUUAUUCUCUUUGAUUAAUUAGCCAAAAACAUUUGUUAGUGCUCUAGUGAUGAUCACGGGUAUUUAAGUUCCACGUAUAGUGGGUCCGGGUGAGUUUUCCCCUCCAGAUCUCAAGUUCGAGUCUGGGUAAUAGGGGUUUCUAAUUGAGGGGUUUAAAUUGAGGAUCUAUUGUGCGAGUGGGCUCUCUAACACGGAUCUGGUUAAGACACUUUAUGCUAGACCUCCUGACAUUCGCGAAUAAUUCACAC
RNAcentral lists this long non-coding RNA (1220 nucleotides) under Helianthus annuus (common sunflower). RNAcentral describes it as "hypothetical non coding rna". The record is from RNAcentral. Lineage: Eukaryota; Viridiplantae; Streptophyta; Magnoliopsida; Asterales; Asteraceae.